Molecule: ribosomal RNA, 321 nt
Filed under: uncultured bacterium
Lineage: Bacteria
Description: bacterial SSU rRNA
Rfam family: Bacterial small subunit ribosomal RNA
Source: RNAcentral
AAACUUCAGCUAAUACCGUAUGUCGCCCGUUCGGGGAAAGAUUUAUCGCCAUUGGAGCCGGCCCGCGUUGGAUUAGGUAGUUGGUGAGGUAAAGGCUCACCAAGCCUACGAUCCAUAGCUGGUCUGAGAGGAUGACCAGCCACACUGGGACUGAGACACGGCCCAGACUCCUACGGGAGGCAGCAGUAGGGAAUCUUGCGCAAUGGGCGAAAGCCUGACGCAGCCAUGCCGCGUGAAUGAUGAAGGUCUUAGGAUUGUAAAAUUCUUUCACCGGGGACGAUAAUGACGGUACCCGGAGAAGAAGCCCCGGCUAACUUCGUG